AUACUUACCUGGCAGGGGAGAUACCAUGAUCAUGAAGGUGGUUUUCCCAGGGUGAGGCUCAUCCAUUGCACUCCAGAUGUGCUGACCCCUGCGAUUUCCCCAAAUGUGGGAAACUCGACUGCAUAAUUUGUGGUAGUGGGGGACUGCGUUCGCGCUUUCCCCUG
Molecule: small nuclear RNA, 164 nt
Filed under: Suricata suricatta (meerkat)
Lineage: Eukaryota; Metazoa; Chordata; Mammalia; Carnivora; Herpestidae
Description: U1 spliceosomal RNA (ENSSSUG00005006304.1)
Rfam family: U1 spliceosomal RNA
About the family: U1 is a small nuclear RNA (snRNA) component of the spliceosome (involved in pre-mRNA splicing).
Source: Rfam by way of RNAcentral